Molecule: ribosomal RNA, 478 nt
Filed under: uncultured bacterium
Lineage: Bacteria
Description: partial 16S ribosomal RNA
Rfam family: Bacterial small subunit ribosomal RNA
Source: RNAcentral
GACGAACGCUGGCGGCGUGCUUAACACAUGCAAGUCGAACGGUAAGGCCCUUCGGGGUACACGAGUGGCGAACGGGUGAGUAACACGUGGGUGAUCUGCCCUGCACUCCGGGAUAAGCCUGGGAAACUGGGUCUAAUACCGGAUAGGACUCCGGACUGCAUGGUCUGGGGUGGAAAGCUUUUGCGGUGUGGGAUGGGCCCGCGGCCUAUCAGCUUGUUGGUGGGGUGAUGGCCUACCAAGGCGAAGACGGGUAGCCGGCCUGAGAGGGUGACCGGCCACACGGGGACUGAGAUACGGCCCAGACUCCUACGGGAGGCAGCAGUGGGGAAUAUUGCACAAUGGGCGCAAGCCUGAUGCAGCGACGCCGCGUGAGGGAUGACGGCCUUCGGGUUGUAAACCUCUUUCAGCAUCGACGAAGCGAAAGUGACGGUAGGUGCAGAAGAAGGACCGGCCAACUACGUGCCAGCCGCCGCAGUAA